This 253-nucleotide ribosomal RNA is filed under the name uncultured bacterium. RNAcentral's name for it is "partial 16S ribosomal RNA". It matches the Rfam family "Bacterial small subunit ribosomal RNA", at positions 524 to 776 of the family's 1533-position model. The record is from RNAcentral.
UACAGAGGGUGCGAGCGUUGUUCGGAAUUAUUGGGCGUAAAGGGCGCGUAGGCGGUGCGGUAAGUCACCUGUGAAAUCUCCUGGCUCAACUGGGAGCUUGCAGGCGAAACUGCCGUGCUGGAGUGUGGGAGAGGUGCGUGGAAUUCCUGGUGUAGCGGUGAAAUGCGUAGAUAUCAGGAGGAACACCUGUGGCGAAAGCGGCGCACUGGACCACAACUGACGCUGAGGCGCGAAAGCUAGGGGAGCAAACAGG